UUCCUCAAACUUAUCAUUGGAAAUUGCUAUAUUAAAUAUUUGUCAAUUUGAUAGGUAAAAAAUUAGAAAUUGAUGGAAUUUUUGAAUAUCUGCUACCCGAAGAUAAUGAAACUAGUGAUUUGAGGCAGUUGAAGAGCCCACGGGAGGAAGUUUCACAUUUGGCAUGACUUAGAAGUGCUGAUGGAAAUUACAGAUGAAUGGAGAAAGAAGUCCCAGUUGACACCUCAACACUGCUAUUGGUUUCUAGUAGGAAAAACAGCUUCAAACAUCUAUAUACCCAUCCUUUGCCUUUUGUCUCAGCAGUAACUGUUAUUGCAAAGUCUCAAUUUGCAUCCUGUACCAUGGUUCUUUUAUAUCAGAGGUCCUGCACAGGCUGUGAAGGGCCUUUUCUGAAGGCAUUAAUAUGAUGAGCUGUGUUGUUGUUGGGGAGUUCAUUUGUAAUGGAUCAUUAUGGAUGUGUAUAAUCUAAUAAAUCCCUUGGAUAUCUAGA
Suricata suricatta (meerkat) is the source of this 490-nucleotide long non-coding RNA. RefSeq lists it as uncharacterized. NCBI's taxonomy places the organism in Eukaryota, Metazoa, Chordata, Mammalia, Carnivora, Herpestidae. The transcript has 3 exons. The record is from RefSeq and is a predicted model, not a curated record.